This 253-nucleotide ribosomal RNA is filed under the name uncultured bacterium. RNAcentral's name for it is "partial 16S ribosomal RNA". It matches the Rfam family "Bacterial small subunit ribosomal RNA", at positions 524 to 776 of the family's 1533-position model. The record is from RNAcentral.
UACGUAGGGGGCAAGCGUUGUCCGGAUUUAUUGGGCGUAAAGAGCGUGUAGGCGGCUUUACAGGUCCGUUGUGAAAACUCGAGGCUCAACCUCGAGACGCCGGUGGAAACCGUAAAGCUAGAGUCCGGAAGAGGAGAGUGGAAUUCCUGGUGUAGCGGUGAAAUGCGCAGAUAUCAGGAAGAACACCCGUGGCGAAGGCGGCUCUCUGGGGCGAUACUGACGCUGAGGAGCGAAAGCAUGGGUAGCGAACAGG